AUUUCAAAACGAGCGUUUAAUCGACCGAAAAACAGAUACGGCAACGCAGUCACAUAUAAUGAUUCUCGCGUCAUUUUGUCUGGUGACGAAAAAUCAGAUUACAUCAAUGCUUCGUACAUCAACGGAUUGUUAGCGAAUUAUUACAUCGCCACACAAGGUAA
Dendronephthya gigantea is the source of this 161-nucleotide long non-coding RNA. RefSeq lists it as uncharacterized. Lineage: Eukaryota; Metazoa; Cnidaria; Anthozoa; Malacalcyonacea; Nephtheidae. The transcript is spliced from 3 exons. The record is from RefSeq and is a predicted model, not a curated record.